This 711-nucleotide long non-coding RNA is filed under the name Manihot esculenta (cassava). Its description in RNAcentral is "long non-coding RNA (MESC_LNC006729)". The record is from RNAcentral. Lineage: Eukaryota; Viridiplantae; Streptophyta; Magnoliopsida; Malpighiales; Euphorbiaceae.
UCUCCCCUUCCCGGUUUCUCUUCUUUCCUCGACGGUUCAUCCGUCCUCCAGUUCCUCCAACAAUCAUAUUAAUAGUCCCACUGGACCCAUCAUUCACUGGUCCAGCUCCAGUUCUCCUGGGCAUCUGGGCUGCCGGACCGGGUUGAGGCCUCUGCCCCUCCGGUUUCUUCACAAAAUUUUUGAGAUGCCCCCUUUUUAUCAAUCUUUCAAUCUCCGCGAUUAACUGAAAACAGUUGUUUGUAUCGUGGCCAUGCGUCCGGUGGUACUGACAAUACUUGUCAGGAUUCCUCUGAUCUGCUUCCGACUUCAAAGGUUUGGGCCACUGGAGAAACUCCUUAUCCUGGACAGCCAUGAGCACCUCGGCUCUGGACGCAUUUAAUGGAGUUGGUUUCUCCGGGACCUAAGGAGGGAGCACUCUUGGUUCGAGAACCCGAGGAGGAGGAGGCCUUUGAUCCCUUCUUUCCCAGGCCUGCUUGUACGGCUCAGGCCUCUUUCCACGCUUCUUCUCGUGUUUCUCCGGCCUUCCCUCCUCCGGGGCUUUCUCUUUUCCUGCCACCCCUUUGGCAAAUCUACUCGUUACUAAGGCGUCAUCCUGCCUUAUAUACUUUUCCGCCCUCUUCAUCAACUCGGCCAGUGAGGUCGGAGGUUUCCUGCUCAGAGAACCAAAGAACUCGGCAGAGGUUGUUCCCUUUUGCAUGGCCUCUACCGCNN